This 253-nucleotide ribosomal RNA is filed under the name uncultured bacterium. RNAcentral's name for it is "partial 16S ribosomal RNA". It matches the Rfam family "Bacterial small subunit ribosomal RNA", at positions 524 to 776 of the family's 1533-position model. The record is from RNAcentral.
UACGAAGGGGGCUAGCGUUGUUCGGAAUUACUGGGCGUAAAGCGCGCGCAGGCGGUCUUCCAAGUCAGUGGUGAAAGCCCGGAGCUUAACUCCGGAACUGCCAUUGAAACUGUAAGACUUGAGGAUGAGAGAGGUGAGUGGAAUUCCCAGUGUAGAGGUGAAAUUCGUAGAUAUUGGGAAGAACACCGGUGGCGAAGGCGGCUCACUGGCUCAUUUCUGACGCUCAGGCGCGACAGCGUGGGGAUCAAACAGG